UACGAAGGGAGCUAGCGUUAUUCGGAUUUACUGGGCGUAAAGGGUGCGUAGGCGGUUUAUUAAGUCAGUCGUCAAAUUUCACUGCUUAACGGUGAGCCGGCGAUUGAUACUGAUGAACUAGAGGGUGGAAGAGAGGAGUGGAAUUCUCGGAGUAGCGGUAAAAUGCGUAGAUCUCGAGAGGAACACCAAUUGCGAAGGCAGCUCCUUGGUCCAUACCUGACGCUCAAGUACGAAAGCGUGGGGAGCAAACAGG
RNAcentral lists this ribosomal RNA (253 nucleotides) under uncultured bacterium. Its description in RNAcentral is "partial 16S ribosomal RNA". It matches the Rfam family "Bacterial small subunit ribosomal RNA", at positions 524 to 776 of the family's 1533-position model. The record is from RNAcentral.